CUUUUAGUAACAGCAUGUUUAGAUCAUCAAUGGGGUUAGUAGCACGAAAUAUGGAGGGGCAGGUGCUAUUUUCCUGUUCGAUGCUCUAUGAAAACACUCCGUCGAGCUUCACUAUCGAAGUGAUUGUUUGUCUCCGUGCAGUGCAAGUGGGUUUGGAGAGAGGUUGGCUGGAAGUAACAGUAGAAGGGGAUGCGUUAGUUAUCAUAAAAAAAUGUCUGUCAUCAACCUUAGAUAAAUCUCAAUUAAGUGCUUACAUUCAUGACAUUCAAAGCUAAAGAGUUAGAUUUCAGCAUAUUGACUUUUUUCACACACCCAGAUCGACGAAUAGGCAAGUGAACCUCUUAGCGACAGAAUCAUUGAAAAGAAAUGAGGAAUAUUACCUAGAAGGAGGAGUUCCAGUAUUUACUGAGAGGUUGAUGGUAGGGAAAAAGUUGUAUGAGCCAAAGUAAAGUAGAUCGGAGAAGGGAAAGGAAGAAAUGAGAGAAAUUAUUUUUUGGAUUAAAUGUGAGUUGUUUUCUCUCUGUGCACUGAACCAUCUAAGACUAAAAUGAUUGAAAU
This 558-nucleotide long non-coding RNA is filed under the name Gossypium barbadense (sea-island cotton). RNAcentral's name for it is "long non-coding RNA (GBAR_LNC020675)". Lineage: Eukaryota; Viridiplantae; Streptophyta; Magnoliopsida; Malvales; Malvaceae. The record is from RNAcentral.